GCAGGGUAUCUGGAGGCCCGCCCUGACUGCCAACAGCUGACCCAUGAGCAGCCUGCAAUAGGAGCUUUCUUCUCUUUGGGGGAAGGAGAGUGACCCUGUGGACAGUUUCAGGACAUGUCACAGGUUUGACCACCUCUGUGGCUAAGGCACCUGGGUCCAAUUAUCCAGGGCCCCAUCUACCUAGAAGAAAAAACUGCAUUUGACUCUCCCAGACUGACUGCACUCUCACCAGACUCUCAUCCUCUUUCUCACAUGAACUUAAAGGAAUGCAAGUGGUAGAGGGGACCAUGGCUGUUGAAAUACACCCUCUAGGAUUUCAUCACUGUUUCAUGUGUUAAAACAGCCUUAAGUUUGAUCAUCAGCAACUUACUCCUCUGCACAGGUUGUCCUGGUAAAAGAAUGAGAUGCUUAUUUUUUUCCCAACUUCACUGAGAUGCAACUGACAUAUAGCAAUGGGAGUUCAUGGUUUCCAGUCUUACUUUUAAGUCCCUAAGCCAUUUCCAGUGUUUUAUAACUUUAUGAACCAGUCAUUCCUGAGGGAGAAAAGUUUCAGCAUCUCUGUGUUCCACAUCAGAAGGCCCCAAGUUGAGGAACGAAACUGAGUCUGCAUGCAGCCCCUGCUUCAGAUUUGGUCAAAUCAUGAUUUCCCAUCACCUAAGGAACCCAGAAGUUGUUCAAAGAUAAUUAAGGCCCGGACCUGACUAGCAGAGUUUCACAUCAGAUGAAGAAAGCGGGAUUUAGAGUAUCCAGACUCAGCUGAAGACUGGAUCCAAAUCCAGACUGAUCCCACAAUCUUGCUUUUUUAUGUCAUCCUCCCCUUAUAGUACCCUGGUCUGCAGGCAGCCUCAAGGACAUCUGAAAAAUGAUUCCUUAAAGAACACAUGGCCAGUAGGAACACCUGAGUUGGCAGUGCUGGAUGAGACGAGUCAGUCCCAGCCAGCUCAACUUGAAUAGGGAAUAAAUGGCAUUGUACCAGGCUCACCUGUAAUUCUGCCUCAACCAUGCAAUUUAGGGUUUAAUUAUAUGCUGUCUUGAGUUGUUUACUAAUUGUUGCAGAGGUCAAUCUUUUACUUUUAUUCAUCAUUCUUCAUU
Bos taurus (domestic cattle) is the source of this 1092-nucleotide long non-coding RNA. NCBI's taxonomy places the organism in Eukaryota, Metazoa, Chordata, Mammalia, Artiodactyla, Bovidae. The record is from Ensembl.